RNAcentral lists this ribosomal RNA (505 nucleotides) under uncultured bacterium. RNAcentral's name for it is "partial 16S ribosomal RNA". It matches the Rfam family "Bacterial small subunit ribosomal RNA", at positions 28 to 507 of the family's 1533-position model. The record is from RNAcentral.
GACGAACGCUGGCGGCGUGCCUAAUACAUGCAAGUAGAACGCACAGUUUAUACCGUAGCUUGCUACACCAUAGACUGUGAGUUGCGAACGGGUGAGUAACGCGUAGGUAACCUGCCUGGUAGCGGGGGAUAACUAUUGGAAACGAUAGCUAAUACCGCAUAAUAUUGAUUAUUGCAUGAUAAUUAAUUGAAAGGUGCAAUUGCACCACUACCAGAUGGACCUUCGUUGUAUUAGCUAGUAGGUGAGGUAACGGCUCACCUAGGCGACGAUACAUAGCCGAACUGAGAGGGUGGUCGGCCACACUGGGACUGAGACACGGCCCAGACUCCUACGGGAGGCAGCAGUAGGGAAUCUUCGGCAAUGGACGAAAGUCUGACCGAGCAACGCCGCGUGAGUGAAGAAGGUUUUCGGAUCGUAAAGCUCUGUUGUAAGAGAAGAACGGGUGUGAGAGUGGAAAGUUCACACUGUGACGGUAGCUUACCAGAAAGGGACGGCUAACUACGUG